AAGUCGUAACAAGGUUUCCGUAUGUGAACCUGCGGAAGGAUCAUUAACACGUUUCCAUAACUAUCAACCAAAUCUGUGAACACGUAUGUGUGUGUAUGUGUGUGUUUGGCUUCUUGGCUGCUUUUGUGUAAAUAACAGCGGUAAAGAUGUCAAAGACACAUAUACACUCCGUCUAUUGGAAGGCUUACUUUCUCUGGGAAGACAUCCUUCCUCUAGGCAAUCCCUUUUUUUUUCUCACGCCUAGAGAGUACUCCUUCGAGGAAAUCUAUAUAGUGACAUUUGAAUCAAUUCCUAGUUUAGUGUAAUGCUGAACUACUUACAUUAUGGUCAUUAUCAUAAUUGUAUGAAUGAAUAAGAGAA
This 360-nucleotide unclassified non-coding RNA is filed under the name plant metagenome. Its description in RNAcentral is "partial contains small subunit ribosomal RNA and internal transcribed spacer 1". The stretch from base 1 to 46 matches the Rfam family "Eukaryotic small subunit ribosomal RNA", at positions 1786 to 1831 of the family's 1831-position model. The record is from RNAcentral.